Molecule: long non-coding RNA, 681 nt
Organism: Cryptotermes secundus
Lineage: Eukaryota; Metazoa; Arthropoda; Insecta; Blattodea; Kalotermitidae
Exons: 2
Source: RefSeq, a predicted model, not a curated record
AGUUGGUCCGUAGACAGAAUCUGCUCUUCUUCUUAGAGAGUUUCCUCCAGUUUCACUUUUUGUCCGUUUUGGGUGGGGAAUUGCUUUCUUCAACAUGUUGCCUUAUUCUUAGUAUAAUUUGUAUUCCCUUCCCCUGCUUCUUUAUCUUGGUGUUGAACCAAAUUCAUGUUUUUAGGGCAGCAGAAAUCAGUGACAUGACCACAGCCAGUCAUGUAUUUGUUCCUCUGUGUCCAAGCACUAUGAUGGUGCACGGAGCAGAGUACUCUCACUGAUGGGGCAGCCCCUGACACCCAUUGCUUAGGUUGGCCUCAUAGCCAGUCUGGAUUUGGUGGCAAAUUGUGAAGUUCUUGUUCUUGCUGGGAAUCAAAUUCUGGUUGUUAACCAUGAGGUAUCCUAGCUGACAGCUCUCUGGCAGCAGAACUUGGAACGUCAACACUGGUAGUAGAAAAACCUGCCAUUGGGCACAGUUCUGACCCAGUUCCAUGUCCUGUCCACAAAAUUUUCUCCUUCAAGUUGCAUGUCCACCCCAUUAUUACUUCCUUUAUUUCACUACAUAGGUUUCCUUAUUAUAUAACCUAAAUUGCGUGCUUUAUGUCUCAGAUGCAAAUGUUUUCCUGCACACUGUGUUUUCAAACAGUUAUUGCAAUAAAUGGAUCACUUAUAUACUUAAGUAUAAGAAAA